GCCUGGGUGGCUCAGUCCGUUGAGCGUCUGACUUCAGCUCAGGUCAUGAUCUCGCGGUCUGUGAGUUCAAGCCCCGCAUCGGGCU
This 85-nucleotide transfer RNA is filed under the name Felis catus (domestic cat). It matches the Rfam family "tRNA". From Rfam's summary of the family: Transfer RNA (tRNA) molecules are approximately 80 nucleotides in length. The record is from Rfam by way of RNAcentral. Lineage: Eukaryota; Metazoa; Chordata; Mammalia; Carnivora; Felidae.